This is a long non-coding RNA of Oncorhynchus tshawytscha (Chinook salmon), 1422 nucleotides long. RefSeq lists it as uncharacterized. The transcript is spliced from 2 exons. The record is from RefSeq and is a predicted model, not a curated record. Lineage: Eukaryota; Metazoa; Chordata; Actinopteri; Salmoniformes; Salmonidae.
AUGGGAUUAGUGCCCUACAUUAGGUCCCGGUCAAUGGGAUUAGUGCACUACAUUAGGUCCCGGUCAAUGGGGUUAGUGCACUACAUUAGGUCCCGGUCAAUGGGAUUAGUGCCCUACAUUAGGUCCCGGUCAAUGGGGUUAGUGCACUACAUUAGGUCCCGGUCAAUGGGGUUAGUGCCCUACAUUAGGUCCCGGUCAAUGGGAUUAGUGCCCUACAUUAGGUCCCGGUCAAUGGGGUUAGUGCACUACAUUAGGUCCCGGUCAAUGGGGUUAGUGCCCUACAUUAGGUCCCGGUCAAUGGGGUUAGUGCCCUACAUUAGGUCCCGGUCAAUGGGGUUAGUGCACUACAUUAGGUCCCGGUCAAUGGGAUUAGUGCCCUACAUUAGGUCCCGGUCAAUGGGGUUAGUGCACUACAUUAGGUCCCGGUCAAUGGGGUUAGUGCCCUACAUUAGGUCCCGGUCAAUGGGGUUAGUGCCCUACAUUAGGUCCCGGUCAAUGGGAUUUAGUGCCCUACAUUAGGUCCCGGUCAAUGGGGUUAGUGCCCUACAUUAGGUCCCGGUCAAUGGGAUUAGUGCACUUAGGAAGGGAAUAGUGUUCGAUAUGGGACGUAUCCCGAGUGUGUUGAGCUCAGAGGAGAACCCAGGACGUGCUGAAUGGAACCCUAUUCCCUAUCCAGUCUUGCACUACGUCUGACCAGAGGCCCCAUAAGGGGGGCUAGUGCACUUAGGGGAAUAUAGUGCUAUUUGGGAUACACGAACCGUGUCUUCGAUUCUACUGCCAAAAUCAUUGUAAUAUAAGCAUGAAGACAUUUUUAUUUUUUAUUUUUUGGAAGGAAUUAAAUCCUGUUAAAAACUGGAUAAAAUACAAUGCUUGAAUUUGACAGUUGACAGUUUAUAUUUAAAUACGAGACAUUUCAACGAGAGGGAAAACUGUCGACGAGGUUGCCGUCCCAAAUAGCACUACUUUCGAGUGACUCCUUUUUUUUUUUUUCGGGGAGAUGCACUCGAUGGUCAUUUUUCAUAGCAAUGAAUGUAUUAGUUGAUUAACAUGUAUGUGUGUAAUUGCUGGUGACUAUUAUGGGAUGGGUAGUGGCUUAAACUCAAGGUACGCUGUGCGCUAUGACGUUGUCGGGCACCGGGGGGGACUUCCUGUUUAAAGACGACGACAAUUAGAAUCUUCCAAGAUUGAGGCUGGGAUUCAAUCUGAUCGCAGGUUGUGACAAAUGUCCCAGCGUUUCGCAGAGAUCCCCAUUCACAGUAAACGCGGCUCAGUCAGAAAUGUCCCAGCGUUUUCGCAGAGAUCCCCAUUCACAGUAAACGCGGCUCAGUCAGAAAUGUCCCAGCGUUUCGCAGAGAUCCCCAUUCACAGUAAACGCGGCUCAGUCAGAAAUGUCCCAGCGUUUCGCAGAGAUCCCCAUUCACA